RNAcentral lists this ribosomal RNA (686 nucleotides) under Cibicidoides wuellerstorfi. RNAcentral's name for it is "partial 18S ribosomal RNA". It matches the Rfam family "Eukaryotic small subunit ribosomal RNA", at positions 1323 to 1743 of the family's 1831-position model. Lineage: Eukaryota; Foraminifera; Rotaliida; Anomalinidae. The record is from RNAcentral.
UGUGUUGCAUCGCACUUUGACCCCUUUCUUUAAUUAGAGAGCGCGUGUCUUAGUUUUCGCUUUGCUCAUACAAUUAGGUCCUGAAAGCAACGAACRUGACCGCAACCUCUUGUUGCCUUUAUACCAAACAUGUUUUGCGUCAAUUUUCGAAUUGCGCGCAUUUCAUGAAAAAAGGCUUUUUAAACUAGAGGGACCGCUGUUACUUUCUUAAACCAGAGGAAGGUUGCGGCAAUAACAGGUCUGUGAUGCCCUUAGAUGUUCCGGGCUGCACACGUGCUACAAUGAUUAUUGCAGUGAGCAUCUCAUUUUUACACACCGCAUGCGCGAGUCCAUUUAUUCACCUUCGGGUGUUUUAAAUGUGUAUCUCUGCGCGCGGUAAAGCCUGCUUCGACAGUAAGUGGGUAAUCAAUUAGAAGUAAUGAUUUCCUUUUUUUUAGCACACAUAUAUACGGCGUCUAUGCCCGGGUUACCUUGUUGUAGCUUUUGUGCGAUAGAUGUUUUUUCCGUAUGUGCGAUUGUCAAUUCAUGGUGGGGCAGACCAUUGUAAUUGUUGGUCUCGGUCUUAACUAGAAUGCCUUGUACGGGUCUUUGGUCAACAAACCACCCGGAAUACGUCCCUGCCCUUUGUACACACCGCCCGUCGCUCUUACCGAUGGACUCUCUGUGAGUUUGAGGGACUGGGAACG